RNAcentral lists this ribosomal RNA (458 nucleotides) under uncultured bacterium. RNAcentral's name for it is "bacterial SSU rRNA". It matches the Rfam family "Bacterial small subunit ribosomal RNA", at positions 28 to 507 of the family's 1533-position model. The record is from RNAcentral.
GGUGAACGCUGGCGGCGUGCCUAACACAUGCAAGUCGAUCGGAGCAGCAAUGCUUAGAGGCGAAACGGGUGAGGAAAACGUAGUAACCAACCCUUUAGACUGGGAUAGCCACUGGAAACGGUGGGUAAUACCGGAUAAGCUCGAGAGAGGAAAGGCAGAGAAGCGACUAAGGACGGAACUGCCGCCCCAUCAGAUAGUUGGUGAGGUAAAGGCUUACCAAGUCAAAGACGGGAAACCGACGUGAGAGCGUGUACGGUCACAAGGGCACUGAGAGACGGGCCCUACUCCUACGGGAGGCAGCAGGUGGGGAAUAUUGGACAAUGGACGAAAGUCUGAUCCAGCGACGCCGCGUGGAGGAAGAAGUCCUUCGGGAUGUAAACUCAUGAAGCUAACGAAUAAGACGGAAGGGGAACCUUCCGGGAGAAGGUAAUUAGUGAAAAGCCCCGGCUAACUACGUG